Molecule: long non-coding RNA, 483 nt
Filed under: Homo sapiens (human)
Lineage: Eukaryota; Metazoa; Chordata; Mammalia; Primates; Hominidae
Description: HSALNT0319717
Source: RNAcentral
CUUUGCUUAAUAAAUCUUGUGGGGUGGUUAUUUGUGUGUCUCAUCCAAUUCUUUGUUCAUAACACCAAGAACCUGGAACUCCCAACUUCCAAUCUGGUAACAUAUUUUGGUGAGCCAGCCAGGAGGGUCAAGCCUGCAAUACCUAAAGCUCCAGACCUGGAACCCAAAGCUCCCAUCAGUCGCUACCCUGUGAACCUGUGGAGGAUCUGAAGUACCUGUUUAAAAGGCAUCCAAAAGAUAGAAUCUAUCAAGCUACAAAUGGCUAUGUUGCCUGAAGCCCCAGACAUCAUCCUACAAGAAAUAAGUCCAGACUUCUUAAUUUCCCCCUGGAUAGAGCAGGAUUCGAUUCAGUUGGAAAGACAUGGUUAAUGCUUAAGAGAGCCAGAAGAACCCAAAUCUUUGAACACACUUAGAGCAACCACAAACUGCUGUUAGAAAACUAAUGUUAAUGUUUAAGAAGUACUUGUUAUUUUAGUUUACCUU